Molecule: ribosomal RNA, 255 nt
Filed under: Salmonella enterica subsp. enterica serovar Indiana
Lineage: Bacteria; Pseudomonadati; Pseudomonadota; Gammaproteobacteria; Enterobacterales; Enterobacteriaceae
Description: partial 23S ribosomal RNA
Rfam family: Bacterial large subunit ribosomal RNA
Source: RNAcentral
CUUGACACUGAACAUUGAGCCUUGAUGUGUAGGAUAGGUGGGAGGCUUUGAAGCGUGGACGCCAGUCUGCGUGGAGCCGACCUUGAAAUACCACCCUUUAAUGUUUGAUGUUCUAACGUGGACCCGUGAUCCGGGUUGCGGACAGUGUCUGGUGGGUAGUUUGACUGGGGCGGUCUCCUCCUAAAGAGUAACGGAGGAGCACGAAGGUUGGCUAAUCCUGGUCGGACAUCAGGAGGUUAGUGCAAUGGCAUAAGC